GGAGGCAAUAGAGUCGGAGAGAGAAAGUAACGCAACCUUCUUCUCCGAUUAUGGGAACCCAUCAAUCGACAACGAGUGCCAAUACAAGUUCCAUCUUUGCCGACCACGAGUAUCGUUCGAGGUUCCAUCUUCUCCGACCAUGGCCAUCAAUCAAGAGAGCAAGCUGGGAUUUAACAGUUAUCCAAUUAACGGCGAAGAACCCAGGUGGAAGGUUCAAGGGCUGCAGUAGAUUCAAGGGUUGUGCAAAACCAGAAAAAUCUCCGAAACCAACAGCAAACCCCCAAAAAAAUAUCAAAACCCAAAAAAUCUCACCUGAAAUCUAAGUUUGCUCCUCACUCGAAGACGUUGAAGAAGUUGAAGAAGAUGCAAUCAAUCGAUGCCGAGGUCGGAGAUAGAGAACCUUGAACGAUGGUCUUCUCUAGAGAAGAUGGAUUCGCUAGUCUUCUCCCCAAAGAAUUUGUCCCUCUCCAUUGUGUUCAUGAGAUUUUUUUUCAAUCGUGUUUUUGAGUUUUUGUUGGAAAGAAAUGAUAAGUUUAUUUAGUUUU
This is a long non-coding RNA of Cannabis sativa, 545 nucleotides long. RefSeq lists it as uncharacterized. The transcript is spliced from 2 exons. NCBI's taxonomy places the organism in Eukaryota, Viridiplantae, Streptophyta, Magnoliopsida, Rosales, Cannabaceae. The record is from RefSeq and is a predicted model, not a curated record.